UGGGCCAAUGAUGCGAAUGGAAUGCAUCUGAAUUAAAAUCAUGAUCAAUCAUUUUUUGUACCACUGAGGUCCUU
This is a small nucleolar RNA of Choloepus hoffmanni (Hoffmann's two-fingered sloth), 74 nucleotides long. Lineage: Eukaryota; Metazoa; Chordata; Mammalia; Pilosa; Megalonychidae. The record is from Ensembl.